CCCAGACUCCUACGGGAGGCAGCAGUGGGGGAUAUUGCACAAUGGGGGGAACCCUGAUGCAGCGACGCCGCGUGGGUGAAGGAGUAUUUCGGUAUGUAAAGCCCUAUCGGCAGGGAAGAAGCAAGACGGUACCUGACUAAGAAGCCCCGGCUAACUACGUGCCAGCAGCCGCGGUAAUACGUAGGGGGCAAGCGUUAUCCGGAUUUACUGGGUGUAAAGGGAGCGUAGACGGUGAAGCAAGUCUGAAGUGAAAGGCGGGGGCUCAACCCCCGGACUGCUUUGGAAACUGUUUGACUGGAGUGCAGGAGAGGUAAGUGGAAUUCCUAGUGUAGCGGUGAAAUGCGUAGAUAUUAGGAGGAACACCAGUGGCGAAGGCGGCUUACUGGACUGUAACUGACGUUGAGGCGCGAAAGCGUGGGGAGCAAACAGGAUUAGAUACCCCAGUACA
This 448-nucleotide ribosomal RNA is filed under the name uncultured bacterium. RNAcentral describes it as "partial 16S ribosomal RNA". It matches the Rfam family "Bacterial small subunit ribosomal RNA", at positions 330 to 797 of the family's 1533-position model. The record is from RNAcentral.